RNAcentral lists this ribosomal RNA (471 nucleotides) under uncultured Microbacteriaceae bacterium. RNAcentral's name for it is "bacterial SSU rRNA". It matches the Rfam family "Bacterial small subunit ribosomal RNA", at positions 91 to 578 of the family's 1533-position model. The record is from RNAcentral. Lineage: Bacteria; Bacillati; Actinomycetota; Actinomycetes; Micrococcales; Microbacteriaceae.
GUUAGUGGCGGACGGGUGAGUAACACGUGGGAACGUGCCUUUAGGUUCGGAAUAACUCAGGGAAACUUGUGCUAAUACCGAAUGUGCCCUUCGGGGGAAAGAUUUAUCGCCUUUAGAGCGGCCCGCGUCUGAUUAGCUAGUUGGUGAGGUAAAGGCUCACCAAGGCGACGACGGGUAGCCGGCCUGAGAGGGUGACCGGCCACACUGGGACUGAGACACGGCCCAGACUCCUACGGGAGGCAGCAGUGGGGAAUAUUGCACAAUGGGCGCAAGCCUGAUGCAGCAACGCCGCGUGAGGGACGAAGGCCUUCGGGUUGUAAACCUCUUUUAGUAGGGAAGAAGCGACUGGGUUUUCCUGGGAGUGACGGUACCUGCAGAAAAAGCACCGGCUAACUACGUGCCAGCAGCCGCGGUAAUACGUAGGGUGCAAGCAUUGUCCGGAAUUAUUGGGCGUAAAGAGCUCGUAGGCGG